UGCUGGUCUAGAGAUUGAUAC
RNAcentral lists this non-coding RNA (21 nucleotides) under Arabidopsis thaliana (thale cress). The record is from RNAcentral. Lineage: Eukaryota; Viridiplantae; Streptophyta; Magnoliopsida; Brassicales; Brassicaceae.